GUGUAGCUCAAUGUCAGAGUAUUUGCUUUGCAUGCAGAAGUUCCCCGGGUUCAACCCCUGUCAUCUCCA
Podarcis lilfordi (Lilford's wall lizard) is the source of this 69-nucleotide non-coding RNA. Lineage: Eukaryota; Metazoa; Chordata; Lepidosauria; Squamata; Lacertidae. The record is from the annotation of a GenBank genome assembly.